This 520-nucleotide unclassified non-coding RNA is filed under the name uncultured Glomus. Its description in RNAcentral is "bacterial SSU rRNA". It matches the Rfam family "Eukaryotic small subunit ribosomal RNA", at positions 569 to 1082 of the family's 1831-position model. Lineage: Eukaryota; Fungi; Glomeromycota; Glomeromycetes; Glomerales; Glomeraceae. The record is from RNAcentral.
AGCAGCCGCGGUAAUUCCAGCUCCAAUAGCAUAUAUUAAAGUUGUUGCAGUUAAAAAGCUCGUAGUUGAAUUUCGGGAUCAAUUAGUCGGUCGUGCCUCUGGUACGUACUGGUUUUAUUGGUUCCUCCCUUCUGACGAAACAUGAUGUCAUUAAUUUGGUGUCGUGGAGAAUCAGGACUGUUACCUUGAAAAAAUUAGAGUGUUUAUAGCAGGCUAACGCUUGAAUACAUUAGCAUGGAAUAAUGAAAUAGGACGUUCGACCCUAUUUUGUUGGUUUCUAGGAUCGACGUAAUGAUUAAUAGGGAUAGUUGGGGGCAUUAGUAUUCAAUUGUCAGAGGUGAAAUUCUUGGAUUUAUUGAAGACUAACUACUGCGAAAGCAUUUGCCAAGGAUGUUUUCAUUAAUCAAGAACGAAAGUUAGGGGAUCGAAGACGAUCAGAUACCGUCGUAGUCUUAACCAUAAACUAAUAGUCCGACUACGGGAGUCGGUAGUGAUAGUUUAAUUUUUAAUUUAGACUCAU